CUAGGAUUAGAUACCCUAUUAUUUAAAAUGUAAAAACUAAAGUAUUAAUAGAUAUGAUCUUUAAACUUAAAAAAUUUGGCGGUAUUUUAGUCUAUUCAGAGGAACCUGUUUUAUAAUCGAUAAUCCACGUUGGACCUUACUUUAAUUUAUUAAUUAGUUUAUAUACCGUCGUUAUAAAAAAUUUUAUAAGAAUAAUAAUUUUUAAAAUUUUAUAUCAGAUCAAGGUGUAGCUUAUAUUAAAGAAAAUAAUGGGUUACAAUAAAAUUAUUUAUAUGAAUAUAAAAAUGAAAAAUUUAUUGAAAGAGGAUUUGAAAGUAAAAUUAAAUAGAUUUUUAAUUUGAUUUUAGCUCUAAAAUAUGUACAUAUCGCCCGUCACUCUUAUUAUUAAAAUAAGAUAAG
Molecule: ribosomal RNA, 399 nt
Filed under: Melaloncha juxta
Lineage: Eukaryota; Metazoa; Arthropoda; Insecta; Diptera; Phoridae
Description: partial 12S ribosomal RNA
Source: RNAcentral